GCCCAUAUAGCUCAGUCGGUAGAGCACUUCCUUGGUAAGGAAGAGGUCACCGGUUCAAUUCCGGUUAUGGGCUCCA
This 76-nucleotide transfer RNA is filed under the name Gammaproteobacteria bacterium. RNAcentral describes it as "tRNA-Thr". It matches the Rfam family "tRNA". Rfam says of the family: Transfer RNA (tRNA) molecules are approximately 80 nucleotides in length. Their secondary structure includes four short double-helical elements and three loops (D, anti-codon, and T loops). Further hydrogen bonds mediate the characteristic L-shaped molecular structure. tRNAs have two regions of fundamental functional importance: the anti-codon, which is responsible for specific mRNA codon recognition, and the 3' end, to which the tRNAs corresponding amino acid is attached (by aminoacyl-tRNA synthetases). tRNAs cope with the degeneracy of the genetic code in two manners: having more than one tRNA (with a specific anti-codon) for a particular amino acid; and 'wobble' base-pairing, i.e. permitting non-standard base-pairing at the 3rd anti-codon position. The record is from RNAcentral. RNAcentral also lists the same sequence under 5 other names. Lineage: Bacteria; Pseudomonadati; Pseudomonadota; Gammaproteobacteria.